This 254-nucleotide ribosomal RNA is filed under the name uncultured bacterium. RNAcentral's name for it is "partial 16S ribosomal RNA". It matches the Rfam family "Bacterial small subunit ribosomal RNA", at positions 524 to 776 of the family's 1533-position model. The record is from RNAcentral.
CACGUAGGGAGCAAGCGUUGUCCGGAUUUAUUGGGCGUAAAGAGCUCGUAGGUGGUUCGGUAAGUCGGGUGUGAAAACUCUGGGCUCAACUCAGAGACGCCACCCGAUACUGCUGUGACUUGAGUCUGGUAGGGGAGUGUGGAAUUCCUAGUGUAGCGGUGAAAUGCGCAGAUAUCGGGAAGAACACCCGUGGCGAAAGCGGCUCUCUGGAACGGUACUGACGCUGAGACGCGAAAGCGUGGGGAGCGAACAGG